Molecule: unclassified non-coding RNA, 297 nt
Filed under: Hevea brasiliensis (rubber tree)
Lineage: Eukaryota; Viridiplantae; Streptophyta; Magnoliopsida; Malpighiales; Euphorbiaceae
Source: RNAcentral
UGCUUUGUUAAUGGAUGUGAUGGAUCAAUUCUACUUGAUGACACAUCUUCCUUCACCGGAGAGAAAACGGCAAUUCCAAAUCGUAAUUCAGCCAGAGGAUUUGAGGUGAUAGACAACAUAAAAUCUGCAGUUGAGAAGGCUUGCCCUGGAGUGGUCUCAUGUGCUGAUGUCUUAGCCGUUGCUGCUAGAGACUCCACUGUUAUUCUUGGAGGUCCAAAUUGGAAUGUUAAACUUGGAAGAAGAGAUGCUAGAACUGCAAGCCGCUCUGCUGCCAAUAAUGGCAUUCCACCUCCCACU